Non-coding RNA from Durio zibethinus, 3046 nucleotides. The record is from RefSeq and is a predicted model, not a curated record. Lineage: Eukaryota; Viridiplantae; Streptophyta; Magnoliopsida; Malvales; Malvaceae.
CCGUCGACAACACAUUCUUCGCUAACUCGAUGAGUUUUUGUUUUUCUCAUUCCUGUUUUCAGGUGAAAUGACCAUUUAACACCCUUUUUAAUCUCCUUAUCUACUGGUUCGUAUCGUUUCUCUUGUCAUGUAAAACGAUGCUUUGGGUUUUCUGAAUUGCAUGGAUUUCUCCUUUUCCAGCUGACGGAACUGCGCUUUCAAGAACUCACUGAGCUCAAAUCUGGCCGUUUUUACGUUUCAUCGUCUUCAAACUGAAAGGUUUUGGGUUUGAUCUCUCCGACCAUCGGUUUAAUAGGAUAAUAAUAAACAACAUCAAACAGCCAGUGUCAUAUUUCUCUUUAUUUGGACUAAAAUGCCCUAAUGUUUUUAAAGGAUUUUACAUUUUCACGUGAGGUCAGCACUAUAAGCAGAUCGGAAGUGCUUCACCUUUUGUUCUCGCCUCUUUACCGUUCACCUGUUAUUCUUUUGUUGGCCUUUUAUAGAUUUGCCAAAUCAACAUUCCUUACCACAUCCCCUUAGAUUCUGUUUCCCAAGACCUUUUCAGUAAAGGACAAUUUCAUCAGGAGAAAAAAAUAUUCAGUACGCCAUCCUUGCAUCGUAAGAGCCAGGAAACUUCGCCGUAGAGGAUCCCUCUUUUGUUUUGUUUUAUUUUUUCUCUUUAAAAACACUUGGGGGGCAUUUUAGUCAUAAUCUAACGUAAGUGACAGGUGGGGUCCAUUGAAAGAAGGCUGUAGUUCUGCGUUUUGGGUUUGGUGUGAUGUUGUUGGUAGUGGCGGAUGGCUAUAUCAUAUAAUCAUAUGCCCUUUCCGAUUAGGUUCCGAAAACUGAAGAGAGAGAGAUUAUCAGGUGUGACGCGGAUGCACGGAAAUAUGGGUGGUCUUCCCUCCCCAUCACUAUCUGUAACUGUACUUGUAUUUGUAUCGGUUUCCUCGUGUUUAUCUACUCUUUUGUGGCCCUAGCCUUAACUUUUUCCGAGAUUGGGAUAUCUUUAGCGUCUGGAUCCCACGGUUGCUUAAACAUUUAUGAUGGGUAUCGGAUGGAUCAUGGACCGUGUGAUUUGGAAAAAAGAAAAUGAAAGUGGGAAGUGAGAUUUCUAUUAGGUGUUGGGAUGUCUAGGUUAUACAGCUAGUGACCCAAUAUCUGACGGCCAUGACAGAAAGCGUCAAGUGAUGAAAGUCACCUGAGGUAGAGGUAGGAAUAGAAUAGAGAACGGCUUAAAGUUCUUCUUGUGCUAACAUGCCUGCUAAUGUGACGUGGCGUGUUAGUACUGGUUCACUUGGGUAAGACCUAAGAAGGAGCGGCUUUGUCAAUACUAAAAAAAAAAAAAAUUUGUAAGCCUCUUCAACACCCUGAGUUUGCCAGCUGUCCACCAAGAAGCUCUUUCAACGGCUGCAUGUUUCUCGUCGUGACUUCGAGAUAUCUGAAUUUUUUUGGUCCUUUUUUUAAUAAUGUAAGGAAGAAAGGAUGGGAUGGCCAAUAUGCCUAAUGGGAAGCUGUAAAUGUGACGUGUGAGUCACAGCGUCUGUUAAGUUCAUGGCAAUUUGGAUAACGUCUAUGCAUGCAUGUUUGAGGUUUCGGAUGGGACCCCAACUUUUUAAACUUUAGGUAUUGCUGCUAAUGAAACCGCUAUCACAACUACCAAGAGGUCAAGAAGAAAGAAGACAUUUGCUGAACUUAAGGGGGAGGAAAAUCUGCUUUUAAAGGAAAGGGUUUAUUUAAAAAAGGAGAUAGCAUCGAUGCUCGCUACUUGUAAAGAACAGAGAGCCGGGAAUGAGAACUUGAAAAGAAUGAAGCUUGAUUUGAACUUGCACACUGCAAAGAACUUGAGUCUAAUUGCUGUUGAACCCGAGAAAGUACCUUCUUGCCAACCCUGUCAGAGAGUAUCCUCUUCUCUUGACUACAUUCCCUCGAUCUUGCCAUCACAUGCCCUGGAUGAUAGUAAACCGCCGUUAGAUUCUUGCAGUCUAGACAAAGCUAUAUCUAGAGGGGAGACUUUUUUCUUACUGCCUGAUCUAAAUAUGAUGCCUGCGGAAGAUGAUUCAGGCACUGAGACUUUAUAUGGAACUAGCUGAAAAGAUGAGUUGACUACCUUCCUUCUCGCAGCCAAAGGGUGUAGGAAAGUGGAGGGGACAUGCUGGAAAAGAGUGACACUGGCCAAGGAGCUGUGUGCUAAUGUAACUUCACUGAAACUCAGGCCAAGCAACAGAUAAGUUGCCAACCCUUGAAGGGCAGAAGAAGCUCACGCUAUACAGAGAAGAUUUGAGGGUAGUGCCUGUAGAUGGUAGAGAUGAUUCUUUUCAUUGUGCAGGUAAUUGCGUUCUUCCGAAAUUCGUUGGGGUAAACCCUCACUACUUCUUGUUUCGGAAUUUAUGUGGAAAUAAUUGCCAUUCUUUGUAGGUAUAACCUGAUGGCCUCCUUAUGUAGGCUUCUUGAAACUAAUUUCAUUUUUCUGUUGUUACAAACUCUGUUUCCGGUCCCUCCCCCCCCUUUCAAUUAUUCUGUUUAACUAGGGGAAGGAAUUUGAGAAAGGACUUUCCAAAAUCUUUGAUGCUACUAUUUCUUUAUAAUUUUCUUUACUAGUAAUGAAAUUUCUUCCCAAAAAAAAAAGGGGUAAUGAAAUUUCUUAAAUGGACCAAUUUUGCACCAAUUCGACCAUGUAUCAAGAAGUUCUACCUUCGUAUCAAAAUGCUAGUACUUUCACAGACUCUUACCUCGAUGAAUUUAUACCGUUCGAGUUUGUGUUUUCUAGCACCUGUCCGGCAUAUUUCCUUUGACUAGGUAAAAGAGUUCGUAGUUGAAUGUUCAAAAUGUAUUGUUUCCAUUAGCUUAAUAUCUUGAUUCCCGAUCCUAGUGAUAAAGGGGGAAGGGGCUAACGAGUUAUUCCGGUUUGAUUUAGAAAAAACUUCAAGCUUAACUCAUGAAUCAUUGAUUUGAGUUGGAACUUAAGUUAUUUGAGAAAUGAGUUUAGUCGAAUUCGAGUAAUUUAAUAAAAUCUUGUAUUUCAUAUUUUUGACUGGACAGUAUGAAAAGUUAAAAUUUUUUUAUU